AUUGAAUGCUGGCGGCAGGCCUAACACAUGCAAGUCGAGCGCGAAAGUUCUUCGGAAUGAGUAAAGCGGCGGACGGGUGAGUAAUACAUGGGAAUCUGCCUGGUAGUGGGGGACAACGUUUCGAAAGGAACGCUAAUACCGCAUACGCCCUACGGGGGAAAGGGGGGGAUCUUCGGACCUCUCGCUAUCAGAUGAGCCCA
Molecule: ribosomal RNA, 200 nt
Filed under: uncultured bacterium
Lineage: Bacteria
Description: partial 16S ribosomal RNA
Rfam family: Bacterial small subunit ribosomal RNA
Source: RNAcentral